This 934-nucleotide long non-coding RNA is filed under the name Chinchilla lanigera (long-tailed chinchilla). Its description in RNAcentral is "lncRNA (ENSCLAG00000027415.1)". The record is from RNAcentral. Lineage: Eukaryota; Metazoa; Chordata; Mammalia; Rodentia; Chinchillidae.
CUCUGAAGUAGUCUUAGCGACAGGAACACUCAGAAGUAAAUGAAAAGGAGUAAGAGGCAUGCAAAUUGGCAGCAGAGGCUCAGUGGAUGCCAGGCAGCAUGACUUGGAAGUAUAUCAGCCCUGUAAGGUUCUGUGACCCAUCCUAUCAGCAGGGAAAAUAAGAAAUACAUCAUAAUUUCUGCCUAUUACGUGCUGGGAGGGCCUCCAGGGUAGAGUACAAUCGGUCUUGUAAUUGAGGCUGAAAGGAUUACCAUUUUUAAAUCAAGGACAAGAGGGAUGUGCAUUGUGAAAUGAGGAGGUCAUCUGUGAGAUAAACUCCCUUUUUAUUGUGGUAUAAUCUCUAAGAGUCCAUACUAGUUUGUCAGUGAUCACAGAUCUAGGGAGCCUUAUUGUAUUCAUAUUUAGUAGAGAUGGACCAAUCAGCAGCAAGGUCUUGAUUUUUUUCAUACAAACUGUAACUAUUUGGAAGAUAAAAGCAAGAAACAGAAGUUGAAUCACAGCUUCUCUGCAAAAAUGGACACUUUCUCUCUGCUCAAUUGCAUUUUGUGAAAUGCCCUUUAGUUGAAGAUGCUCUUAUUUUUGCUGCUGCAUUUUUUAAAUGAAAGCUCAUUAUCUGAAGGACCAUUAACCUUCAGCACCAUUGACAUAAAUAUGAUACAUUCUCUAUAUUAAAUACAAAGUGUUCAGCAGCUCAAGGACUGACCCAUCAGCACGACAUUCAAGAGAUGACCACAGUGAGAUACUCAGGCAUAAGGUUGGGACUAUUACAUUCUUGCUAUUCAUGUGUUUUGAAGCACUGUUACAGAAAGUGGGCUCGAUGUCUAUUCACAAGCUGAUAUGGCCAUGGAUCUUCAGUAAUUAGGAGCAUCUUGAAGAGUACAAAGGUCAUCAGAGAUAAAAACAAAUGAAAGUAGAGAAAGAUAAGCACCCUUGG